This 254-nucleotide ribosomal RNA is filed under the name uncultured bacterium. Its description in RNAcentral is "partial 16S ribosomal RNA". It matches the Rfam family "Bacterial small subunit ribosomal RNA", at positions 524 to 776 of the family's 1533-position model. The record is from RNAcentral.
UACGUAGGGCGCAAGCGUUGUCCGGAAUUAUUGGGCGUAAAGAGCUCGUAGGCGGUUUGUCGCGUCGGCUGUGAAAGCCCGGAGCUCAACUCCGGGUCCGCAGUCGAUACGGGCAGACUUGAGUGUUGCAGGGGAGACUGGAAUUCCUGGUGUAGCGGUGAAAUGCGCAGAUAUCAGGAGGAACACCGGUGGCGAAGGCGGGUCUCUGGGCAACAACUGACGCUGAGGAGCGAAAGCGUGGGGGAGCGAACAGG